GCUCAUUUUGGCAGCACAUAAAGUUGGAAAGACGCAGAGAAGAUGGGCUUGGCCCCUGUACAGUGAUGACACUCAAAUUGGUGAAGUGUUCUGUAUUUAC
Molecule: small nuclear RNA, 100 nt
Filed under: Suricata suricatta (meerkat)
Lineage: Eukaryota; Metazoa; Chordata; Mammalia; Carnivora; Herpestidae
Source: RNAcentral